CGUGGGGGAUAACCUCGGGAAACCGGGACUAAUACCGCAUACGUCCUACGGGAGAAAGCGGGGGACCUUCGGGCCUCGCGCGGUUGGACGGACCGAUGUGCGAUUAGCUAGUUGGUAGGGUAAUGGCCUACCAAGGCGACGAUCGCUAGCUGGUCUGAGAGGAUGAUCAGCCACACUGGGACUGAGACACGGCCCAGACUCCUACGGGAGGCAGCAGUGGGGAAUAUUGGACAAUGGGCGAAAGCCUGAUCCAGCAAUGCCGCGUGUGUGAAGAAGGCCUUCGGGUUGUAAAGCACUUUUAUCAGGAGCGAAAUACUAUCGGUUAAUAACCGGUGGGGCUGACGGUACCUGAGGAAUAAGCACCGGCUAACUUCGUGCCAGCAGCCGC
This 388-nucleotide ribosomal RNA is filed under the name uncultured bacterium. Its description in RNAcentral is "bacterial SSU rRNA". It matches the Rfam family "Bacterial small subunit ribosomal RNA", at positions 135 to 518 of the family's 1533-position model. The record is from RNAcentral.